UUUUUUUUUUUUUACAAAGGGAGAAAUGUAUCUUUAGUAAUAAUCGAUGAAAUCUACUUUGCGAUGGAGAAAUAAUUCUCUCAAUAUGAUGUUAAUUAGAAUGAGAUUGAAAAUGAACAAAAACGAGAAGAAGUUAUAAAUUAAACGAAGGAAAGAGAGAAGAUAAAGAGAACAAAAACUCACAGAAAAGAACCGCUACGAAUUCCGUAUCUUCGACGAUUUUAUCCAGAAUUUUAGCAUUUACUUCUUCUAUCCGAUCUGGUAAAUCCAUUGCCUCUAAACUGAAGAAAAUAUCUCAUUAGCGGAAACCUCAUUAAAAUUUUUAAUGAAAAAUAAAUUAUGCCAUAUAAUUAUGAUACAAUAUCGUAUGCUCGAUCAAGCCUCAUGUGUUAACAAAAAUUUCAAUUUGUAAAUUAUAUCACACAGUUAAACUCAAGAUUUAUAAAAAAGACACGUCGUGAAAACAAUCUCAAUAGAUUCAACAAAAACUUUAAGUACGUAUGAUAAAGUU
Vespula pensylvanica (western yellowjacket) is the source of this 511-nucleotide long non-coding RNA. RefSeq lists it as uncharacterized. The record is from RefSeq and is a predicted model, not a curated record. NCBI's taxonomy places the organism in Eukaryota, Metazoa, Arthropoda, Insecta, Hymenoptera, Vespidae. The transcript has 4 exons.